CGGUGAAUCAUUCUGAACUGAACUCAUGGCGCUAAACACGUUCAUCCUCUGGAUCAGAGGUUUGGUGUGGAUGAGUGACACAUGUAUAUGGUGGUCGUCGUUCUGUACCAUUUUCUUCAGGCGACGAGGCAGAGUUCGCGGUGCUGGACGCCAUCGAGAGGGCCACGGGGUGCGUGCCGCUGGUGCACGUCGACGACCUCUGCCGCGCCGAGCUGUUCGUCGCCGAGGAGGUAUCUGCCGCGGGGAGGUACAUCUGCUGCAGCAUCAACACGACCAUCGCCGAGCUCGCGCGUUUCCUCGCGGACAAGUACCCGCAGUACGACGUGAAAACGAGCCUGCUGUAAGAAAGAACCGGCUUCGCAGCUCUGGAUUCUGAUGACAUUUUUGCACCGAUGACUGACUGAUGCCGUUUGGCCGCACUUUUGCAUGCAGCUCCGGCGAGCGGCUUGAGAAGCCGAGAGUGCGUCUGUCGUCCGAGAAGCUGGUGAAGGAAGGGUUCGAGUUCAGGUACAGAACGCUGGAUGACAUGUACGACGACAUGGUCGAGUAUGGCAAGACCCUGGGAAUCCUGCCCAGCUGAUAUGAGUACGUGAUGCUCCUCUAUUUCGGCCGGCGAUCAAGACUAGGGAGUCAGAACACUCCUGCAAAACAAAGCCAAUGCUUUUGCUGCUAGUGUGCUGAACCGUAGCAGUUGAGUCAGUUCGUAUAAGACUAGAAGAAUAUCCACACGCUGCCGCAGGACUUUUCUAGAAAUAAAUUUGUUAUAUGUAUAAUUUUACUAUACGGUACCCUGGGUAUUAUGUAUGUUGCUAAGAUUUGUUUAAGAUCUUACCUUGUUAAAAAGAGGGGCACAAUUAAAUGGAUAAAGCAUGGUGAUGCAGGUACCAGUUUCUUUCAUGCCAAUGCUGCUAUUAGGCACAGAGGAAACGUGAUUACUGAGCUAAUGACAAGGGAUGGGGCUCUUGUCAGUGGUCACAGUGAGAAAGGAGCAGUUCUUUGGGUUGAUUUCAAAUUUAGACUUGGCACCUCAGAAUUCUCGGGGUUCAAUGUUGACCCAACUUUUUUCAUUCAGAGUGUUGAAUAUCUGGACUCUUUAGAAGAACCUUUCAGUUAGACAAAAAAUGACAGUAUCAUCAAAGCCUUGCCAAAUCAAAAGUGACCAGGUCCAAAUGGGUUCAAUAAUGAGUUUUUAAAGAAAUCCUGGCCAGCGAUCAAACAUGACUUCUAUGAUCUGUGUGAUUCCUUCCAUAGCAAUUCAGUUUGCUUGAGGAGCAUAAACUCUUCCUAUAUCACCCUAAUCCCCAAAGUUGAUGGUGCAAGUUCUCUUGCAAAUUUCAGGCCCCAUUUCCCUGCUCAACUCCUCAUUCAAACUUGUCACCAAGCUGGUUGCAAAUAGACUACAGCCUUUAAUAACCUCCAUAGUGCACAAGAGUCAAUAUAGUUUCAUGAAGAAUAGAACAAUCUAGGAUUGUCUGGCUUAGGCUUUUGAGUAUUUACACCUCUGUCAUCACUCAAGGAAGGAAAUAGUCAUCAUCAAGUUAGAUUUUGAGAAAGCAUUUGACAAAAUUGAGCACCAGGCCAUGCUAAUUCCGAUGGAAGAAAAGGGCUUUGGGCAGAAGUGGUUAGAUUGGAUGAAGGCCAUCAUGUCUUCAGGGACCUCUGCUGUACUCCUAAAUGGGGUACCUGGAAAAACAUUUCACUGUAAAAAGGGUGUUAGAGAGGGGGAUCCCCUCUCCCCACUCAUUUUUGUCCUUGCAGCAGAUUUUUUGCAGUCAAUAAUUAACAAGGCAUCAUUCUCUUAUGCUAGACUAUUUGGGCAACAAGGAAUGAGCUCAUUUUUAAAUUAAAUAGUCUGAAUCUGACGGGUUGUCAUAGUAUCUUCUUUAGUGAGUUGAUUAUUCGGAAGAGAAUGAAGACGAAUUAGCAAGACCAAUUAUCUUUAUGGAUUCUGAGUCUACAAUAAACUGCUGGUUGGCUCUAAUUUUCUUUGUUUCUUUUUUUUAUCUUGAACUGGUUCUCUCUCUCCCCCCCCCCCUCCCUCUUUUCCUCUCCUUUAAGAAAUCACUGUAGGGGUCACGGCCCCUCCAGAUUCGUAAAAAAAAAAAAGACCAUGGAAGAGGUGGCAAAAGUUGAUCAAAGAGUAAGUUGAACCGACUUAAAACGUCCAUAGAGGCUACAAACAAUGAGUGUCAAUCUCGCUGUCCACGUUUGCCAUUACUCAGUCACUCACUCGCCAGUUGCCAACAGCCGACACGAAGGAACCACCAGGCCCACAGCCUUUUCUCGUAGAGCAGAUCUUGUCAGUUCUUCCUGAUGAAAAUUUUGCCCAACGAGCGAGUGAAUCAUCCUCUUUGAAGCCCGCUGUGACUUGUGAGGUGGCACAGCCGACGAGAUGUCUACCGGCAACAGGAAGAAGACGGCGUGCGUGACCGGAGGGAACGGGUACAUCGCCUCCGCGCUCAUCAAGAUGCUGCUAGAGAGAGGGUACGCCGUGAAGACGACGGUCAGGAAACCCGGUUCGAUUAUUUGACCUUCCCCUUUUGUAGUGAUGUGUUUAGUCUGUGAAAGUGCUUUAUUGUGAUGAUUCUGAAUCCCAGAUGACAUGGAGAAGAACUCCCACCUUAAGGACCUGCAGACUCUUGGAUCCUUGGAGAUCUUCCGCGCCGACUUGGAUGAAGAUGGCAGCUUUGACGACGCCGUCGCCGGCUGCGACUACGCCUUCCUAGUCGCCGCUCCAGUGAACCUCCACACGAAGAAUCCUGAGGUGAACAAAUGUCACAGCUACUCGAGUUCCAUCUCUCGUUUGUCUAGAGUUGCUGACAGCAUCUGCUCAUACUGUUCAUCAACGUUCAUCCCUUGCUCAAUAAUUGGCGGCAGAAAGAGCUGAUCGAGCCCGCUGUCAGGGGAACUCUGAACGUCAUGCGGUCGUGCGUGAAGGCCGGGACGGUGAGGCGCGUGGUCCUGACCUCGUCGGCGGCCUCGGUCUCCAGCAGGCCGCAGCUGCAGGGCGACGGGCUCGUGCUGGACGAGGACUCGUGGUCCGACGUCGAGUACCUCAGAGCCCACAAGCCUGCAGGGCCCUGGGUACGUUACGACGCACGUCGAUCAUGCAGCCCUUGCUCUCCUGCAUGCUGCAUGCUGCAACCAUUUGGCAUUUGGUGACGAUGAGAAGUUGGGGACGACGGCGCUGGAUUAAUUGUGCUUGCAGGGGUACCCGGUGUCGAAGGUGCUCCUGGAGAAGGAGGCGUACAGGUUCUCGGAGGAGCAUGGCAUCAGCCUCGUCACCGUCUGCCCCGUCCUCACCGUCGGCGCCGCGCCGGCCCCGACCGUGCGCACCAGCGUCCCAAACUGCCUCUCCCUUCUAUCCGGUGAAUCAUUCUGAACUGAACUCAUGGCGCUAAACACGUUCAUCCUCUGGAUCAGAGGUUUGGUGUGGAUGAGUGACACAUGUAUAUGGUGGUCGUCGUUCUGUACCAUUUUCUUCAGGCGACGAGGCAGAGUUCGCGGUGCUGGACGCAAUCGAGAGGGACGCCGGCUGCGUGCCGCUGGUGCACGUCGACGACCUCUGCCGCGCCGAGCUGUUCGUCGCCGAGGAGGACGCCGCCGCGGGGAGGUACAUCUGCUGCAGCC
Molecule: long non-coding RNA, 3630 nt
Filed under: Sorghum bicolor (sorghum)
Lineage: Eukaryota; Viridiplantae; Streptophyta; Magnoliopsida; Poales; Poaceae
Description: long non-coding RNA (SBIC_LNC011440)
Source: RNAcentral